RNAcentral lists this non-coding RNA (72 nucleotides) under unclassified sequences. Its description in RNAcentral is "skipping-rope RNA". It matches the Rfam family "skipping-rope RNA". Rfam says of the family: Firmicutes, Fusobacteria, AlphaProteobacteria, Spirochaetes. The record is from Rfam by way of RNAcentral.
AGAAUUAGAGGACGGAACGGGCAGCCGUCGCCCUAAGCUCGGAGAUGUGGGAGUGUCGCCCCACCUAAGGCA